Long non-coding RNA from Aquila chrysaetos chrysaetos, 316 nucleotides. RefSeq lists it as uncharacterized. The transcript has 3 exons. The record is from RefSeq and is a predicted model, not a curated record. Lineage: Eukaryota; Metazoa; Chordata; Aves; Accipitriformes; Accipitridae.
AUGUGUGAUAUUAGAGGAGGUAAAGGGAAUGAGUGAGUUCCCUGUGUCACUGCAAAGGAAGAGAAGCGGAAGAUUAGUAAAGAUGACCAAAAUCCUUCCUGCCUACAGUAAAUAUGCAUUUGGAACAGAGUUAUGCUUUGCUCAGGGAGUAUUCUCCAGUGCUUUUCUGGCUUGAGCUAUGCUUGAAGGUUUUGCCAGCAUAAGUAUGUCAAACAAGAGUGAAAAAUCUUUUCCUUGUCAAGUGCAUCUUUGCUAGAAAAUAACAGUAUUAUCUGAACUGAUUUAGCAUCUGUAUUUUUCCAUGAGGAUACUGGGC